GGUGGCUGCCAUCUUGCGU
RNAcentral lists this unclassified non-coding RNA (19 nucleotides) under Mus musculus (house mouse). Its description in RNAcentral is "oocyte_clustered_small_RNA12309". Lineage: Eukaryota; Metazoa; Chordata; Mammalia; Rodentia; Muridae. The record is from RNAcentral.